RNAcentral lists this long non-coding RNA (1529 nucleotides) under Homo sapiens (human). Its description in RNAcentral is "HSALNT0072576". The record is from RNAcentral. Lineage: Eukaryota; Metazoa; Chordata; Mammalia; Primates; Hominidae.
CGGGAAGACAUUCUGGCAGAGAAGCAAACGUGAGGAAAGAGUUUUGCUCUUGUUGCCCAGGCUGGAGUACAAUGGCGCAACCUCGGCUCACCACAACCUCCGCUUCCCAGGUUCAAGCGAUUCUCCUGCCUCAGCCUCCUGAGUCGCUGGGAUUACAGGAAUGUGCCACCAUGCCCGGCUAGUUUUGUAUUUUUAUUAGAGACUGGGUUUCUCCAUGUUGGUCAGGCUGGUCUCGAACUCCUGAUCUCAGGUGAUCCACCUGCCUCGGCCACCCAAAGUGCUGGGAUUACAGGCAUGAGCUACCAUGCCCAGAGAAUUCCAGGUAAUUCUCAUGGUGAAUGAAUUCCAUUCAUACUGUUGUUCUUCAGUCUGCCAAAUGGAUAUUACAUAACACAUUUGUGUGCCAUGAUGGGCCUUACAUAUAUUGACUCAUGUAAUUCUCACAACUUUAUGAGGUGGUAUUAGUCGCAUUUUCAUUUCAUGAAAUUGAGGCACAAAAAAAUUAGACAUGUUGAAGAUCAUACAUCAUCCCUCACCUGGGCUACAAUAGCCUCUUAACUAAUCUCUGCUUCUCCUCUUGUCCACACAACAGCCAGAGAACCUUUAAAUAUGUUAAGUAUGUCAAGCCUCUGCUCAAACUGAGUUUUUCCUGUCACACUUCAGUGUGGCCUAUAGGCCCUAAGUGAUGUAGCCUUUGCUUAUAUUGUCUUCCACUCUCAUCCUUGUUCACAGAGCUCUAGCAAUUCUCAUGUUUGGAGGUCCUCAAGGCAAAACUCAGCUUUAUUUCCCAUUCCCUUAGUAUGGAAAGCUAUUUCCCUAUCUGUGUGUCUUGCUUUUACAUCAUUGCUCUGCUCUCCUCAAAAACCUUCCCCUCUUAUCCCCAUCACCGUCCUCAUUUUGAUUCUUCAUAUACAUUUAUCCUUUCCUGAUUUUAUACUGUUUACCUUUUUAUGGUUUGUUUUCCCCUCUAAAACAUAAGUUCCAUCUGGACAAGGGCUUUGCUCAGUCCUAUUUUCCUAGGCCCUAGAAUCAAACCAGUAUUGGGUGAAUGGAUACUGAAUGAAGCUUUACCUAAGUGCUUUGUCUUUUACUUAGUUUCAGUGGUUAAAUCUCAGAAAGCUUAACAGCAAUUCUAAGCAUGUCUUUAUCAUAAAAGGUUAAAAACUGUAUUAUUGGGAUAUUUUUUCUCUUUUUAUGUUUACCUACAAGCCCGUAGAAAGUAUAAAUACUCAAAAGAUAGCAGACCAGGUAGGCUUAAGUUACUUUUACAAAACAGUAGAAAUACCUUCAAAUAUUUAGCACUGAUGAACUUACUACUGAGGACAUGUGGACUCUACUAAGAAACUAAUGAUGAAAUUCAUAAUUGGGUGUGGUAGCACAUGCACCCAGCUACUCGAGAGGCUGCAGCUUGAGUCCAGGAGUUCAAGGCUGCAGGGAGCCAUAAUCAUGCCACUGCACUCCAGCCUGGGAGACAGUGAGAACUUGGCUCUUAAAAAAAAAAAGGAAAAAAAAUUGAUAACGACAAUUUG